CAACUACUCCCUCCAUCCAGAAAUACUUGUCAUCAAAAUGGAUAGAAAGAGAUGUAUCUAGAACUAAAAUAAGUCUAGAUACAUUCCCUUUUAUCCAUUUUGAUGACAAGUAUUUCCAGACGGAAGGAGUACAAA
Non-coding RNA from Triticum aestivum (bread wheat), 135 nucleotides. Lineage: Eukaryota; Viridiplantae; Streptophyta; Magnoliopsida; Poales; Poaceae. The record is from Rfam.